Long non-coding RNA from Nomascus leucogenys (northern white-cheeked gibbon), 646 nucleotides. RefSeq lists it as uncharacterized. The record is from RefSeq and is a predicted model, not a curated record. Lineage: Eukaryota; Metazoa; Chordata; Mammalia; Primates; Hylobatidae. The transcript is spliced from 3 exons.
AGGAACUACUCACCUUACCAUCUUGGCCGUUUCAUUUGUCUUCCACCAGUUCUGGAAAAAGAAGGCCUAGAAGUUCAGAAAAAAAGGAAAUGACCAGUGCUUUGGUUAAGAAUGCACAUUAUACUGCAGUUCUCUGGGGAAUGAAGCCACCCUUGACUGAGGAGACACAGCACAGAAGAGAGAGGCAGAAGCAGCUUUACUGAAAAACAGAGCAUGAGUAGAACGACUUCAAGUCCCAUAUGGCACCACAGUGAGAAGUAACUUCUUCUGAGCUUCUUAGAGAAUCCAACAAUGUCCUGCUCCCUUGGAGAGCUGCAGCCAUGGGCACAUGGGAAUAGGGCUUCCACCAAGAGUCCCGUCGGUCACAGCAACAGGAUGUCUUCCUCAGACAACUUUGAUGAUAGAGGUUGUUAGCCAGAGCAAGCUAGAACCAGAAAGAAAAACUUUGAAGAUGCCACAGUGGGAGUCUGAGCACCUUGAGGCCUCCUGUUGGAAACUGGCAAACCUAACUGUGGGACACUUGGAUGCUGAGUUCUGGUAAACAUGCUGUGGGAGGCAUGAUAAUUUAGUCAUUAACAUUUAAAAACGAUCUAAUUCUAUAUACAUACUCUGUUGAAGACUUCUUCCAACCACCUUGUAUUAUAAA